CAUGCAAGUCGAGCGAGAAGCUAACUUCGGUUAGUGGAAAGCGGCGCACGGGUGAGUAACGCGUGGGAAUUUACCUUUUGGUGGGGGACAACAGUUGGAAACGACUGCUAAUACCGCAUAUACCCUACGGGGGAAAGAUUUAUCGCCAAAAGAUGGGCCCGCGUUAGAUUAGGUAGUUGGUAGGGUCAAAGCCUACCAAGCCUACGAUCUAUAGCCGGUUUGAGAGAACGAUCAGCCACACUGGAACUGAGACACGGUCCAGACUCCUACGGGAGGCAGCAGUGGGGAAUCUUGCACAAUGGGCGAAAGCCUGAUGCAGCCAUGCCGCGUGAGUGAGAAGGCCUUCGGGUUGUAAAACUCUUUUAGAUGUGAAGAUGAUGACGGUAACAUCAGAAAAAGCCCCGGCUAACUUCGUGCCAGCAGCCGCGGUAAUACGAAGGGGGCUAGCGUUGUUCGGAAUUACUGGGCGUAAAGAGCGUGUAGGCGGCUAGAUAAGUUAGGGGUGAAAUCCCGGAGCUCAACUUCGGAAUUGCCUUUGAUACUGUCUAGCUUGAGAUUGCGAGGGGAUAGCGGAAUACCCAGUGUAGAGGUGAAAUUCGU
RNAcentral lists this ribosomal RNA (600 nucleotides) under uncultured Alphaproteobacteria bacterium. Its description in RNAcentral is "bacterial SSU rRNA". It matches the Rfam family "Bacterial small subunit ribosomal RNA", at positions 54 to 691 of the family's 1533-position model. Lineage: Bacteria; Pseudomonadati; Pseudomonadota; Alphaproteobacteria. The record is from RNAcentral.